ACGGCGUAGGAAUUCAUAGGAACGUACCCUCAGGACGGGGAUAGCUACGGGAAACUGUAGGUAAUACCCGAUGGUCUCCGCGGAGCAAAGGUGUGAUUCCGCCUGAGGAGCGGCUUAUGCGAUAUUAGCUAGUUGGUGGGGUAAUGGCCUACCAAGGCGAAGAUGUCUAGGGGGUGUGAGAGCAUGGCCCCCACGACCGGAACUGAGAUACUGUCCGGACACCUACGGGUGGCUGCAGUCGAGAAUCUUCCGCAAUGGACGAAAGUCUGACGGAGCGACGCCGCGUGCGGGAUGAAGGCCCUUGGGUUGUAAACCGCUUUCGGAGGGGAUGAAAUCCUCGAGGGUUCUCCCUCGAGGUUGACAGAGCCUCAAAAGAAGCACGGGCUAAGUACGUGCCAGCAGCCGCGGUAACACGUACUGUGCGAACGUUAUUCGGAAUCACUGGGCUUAAAGGGUGCGUAGGCGGCGAUUCAAGUCAGAUGUGAAAUGCCUGAGCUCAACUGAGGCAUUGCGUUUGAAACUGAAUUGCUAGGGUAUUUCAGGGGUGUGCGGAACUGCCAGUGGAGCGGUGAAAUGUGUUGA
Molecule: ribosomal RNA, 582 nt
Filed under: uncultured bacterium
Lineage: Bacteria
Description: bacterial SSU rRNA
Rfam family: Bacterial small subunit ribosomal RNA
Source: RNAcentral